AUUGAACGCUGGCGGCAUGCCUUACACAUGCAAGUCGAACGGUAACGGGCCUUCGGGUGCCGACGAGUGGCGGACGGGUGCGUAAUACAUCGGAACGUGCCCGAUCGUGGGGGAUAACGAGGCAAAAGCUGUGCUAAUACCGCAUACGAUCUACGGAUGAAAGCAGGGGACCGCAAGGCCUUGCGCGGACGUAGCGGCAGAUGGCAGAUUAGGUAGUUGGUGGGAUAAAAGCUUACCAAGCCGACGAUCUGUAGCUGGUCUGAGAGGAUGAUCAGCCACACUGGGACUGGGACACGGCCCAGACUCCUACGGGAGGCAGCAGUGGGGAAUUUUGGACAAUGGGCGCAAGCCUGAUCCAGCCAUGCCGCGUGGAGGAUGAAGGCCUUCGGGUUGUAAACUGCUUUUGUACGGAACGAAAAGCCUUCUUUUAAUACAGGAGGGUCAUGACGGUACCGUAAGAAUAAGCACCGGCUAACUACGUG
This 482-nucleotide ribosomal RNA is filed under the name uncultured bacterium. RNAcentral's name for it is "partial 16S ribosomal RNA". It matches the Rfam family "Bacterial small subunit ribosomal RNA", at positions 30 to 507 of the family's 1533-position model. The record is from RNAcentral.